Non-coding RNA from Odocoileus virginianus texanus, 268 nucleotides. Lineage: Eukaryota; Metazoa; Chordata; Mammalia; Artiodactyla; Cervidae. The record is from RefSeq and is a predicted model, not a curated record.
CUUGGGGUCUCUUCCCCCACCUCCUCACUUCUCCUUUUUCAUAGGGACCCUAUGCGAACAGGCAACUGUUGUGGAAGCUGAGGAACUCUGGCCAGGGUCUCCCUCCGGUGUGUUCCAAAGGCCCCACUGCUCACUGAGCCCCAGUAGCUGCCGCCCGAACGGGAGCCUAGAUGUUGUCUCUGAGCCAUCCCAAGAGUGCCUUCCACGUUUCAGGGAAUUGCCAAAAGGAGGUCCUGGUAAGGAACACGGAACUAAUAAGUCUCCACCA